UCAUGUACAGGCCUAGUCCACUCAGCCUCGCACUUGGCUGAGUUACUCAGGCUGAUUCCAAGGCCCAAGGAAAGUGGAAUAGCGCUGCUUAGUAUUAACCAUGAAUGUUUGUCACACACACAUGCACAUGGCUAUUGUGUAAAUGCUCACACAUGAACCCAUUCAUUUCUUUAACAUUGGGAAAUUUUGGUAGUUUACUCAUGAAUAUCAUUUUUAAUAGAUUUUUCACAUUACACAGCAUAGAAGCUUAUGGACAAAUGAGGCAUGUGAUGUUUUUUUCUUUUUUUCUUUUCUACAUACUUGCUGAACAUCUAUGGGGAUAAAAAUAUUUUAAGAUCCUUAACUAACUCUAUUUUUUUUUUCCUGUUUUUCUUUUUUAUGAUGAGUGUGUGAAAAAAGCAUAAACCAAUUUAGAAAGGUAUUCCCUUUAAUGAAAUACUUGUUGUAAACCUGAGACCCGCCAUGAAUGAUGAGGUUAGGUGCAUUGCCCGAAAAUGCUGAUAACAAAGAUGGCAGGGUUCAAGGAGGUAGGACAUGAAACCUUGUGAGAUCGGGGCUUUUUUCUAGAACUUGAGAAGAGCUUGAGGAAAUUGGGAUCUGAUUUGGUAACAGAUGGAGAACCUAUGCUUGGAUGGUUUCUGACCUUUGCAUAUGUAUAUCAUCUAUAGUCCACUUUGCCUGGUACUUGUUCGAGUUACUUUCUCAGGCAAGAGCCGAGUCUAAGGCCCAAGCAAAGUUUUAUAACAUCGCUUAGUAUUAACCAUGAAUGUCUGUCACACAUGAACCCAUUCAUUUCUUUAACAUUGGGAAACUGUGGUAGUUUCCUCAUGAAUACUAUUUUUAAUAGAUUUUUCACAUAAUACAACAUCUAAGCUUACGGACAAAUGAGGCAUGUGAUGAACUUUUUUGUUUUUUUAACGAACUUGUUAAACAUCUAUGGGGACGAAAAUAUUUUAAGAUCCUUAACUAACUCUAUUUUGUUUUUUCCUCUUUUUUUUUUCGGGUCCAAGUGUUUGAAAAAAGUAUAAACCCAUUUAGAAAGAUAUUUGUUGUAAACCUUAGACCCUCCUUGAACAAUUAGGUUUGAUGCAUUGGCCGAACACUGGUGAUUAUAGAGACGGUAGAGGUCAAGGAGGUAGGACAUGAAACCUUGUGAGAUCGAAGCGUUUUUUUUAGCUUUAGAGAAGAACUCGAGGGACUUUGGGAUCUAAUUUGCUAACAAAUGGAGUGCCUACUCUUGGAUGGUUUUUAACCUUUGCAUCUUUAUGUUUUCUCACCACAAUCUUCUUUAUAUCUGUGCUAUUAUAGGUUUUCCUCAUUGUUUUUGUUUGUUAUCUCUUCCAUUUUUUUUAUUAUAAUUGAUUUUGCACUAUGAAGCUCAUCAUAUUUUGUUAUGCUUUUAUGAUUCAGCUGAUUUUAUCUGUUCUUGUCAUGUGUUUUGUAUAUUGGGUUUAAAAUUUCUUCAGAAUGUCCUAGGAGAAAUUCUCAACAAUUUAAGCUCUAAACUCUUAGACUAUAGGACUGAAUCUACAGUUUACAAGAAAAAGAUUUAGUAUGAUCCAUAAAACUUUCUUCCUAGAGAAUGUUUUAUUUUCUCUCGAUGACCCAAUUUUUUGCGUCUAACCAUUUUCUAUCUCUUCUGGGUUGGAUGCCUUAAUUGUGUUUUUCUUUUACUCCACAUCUCUCCCCUCUAUUUGAGGCUGCCUCCAUUUUGCCUUAAUUGCGUUCUGGGUUGGAUGCCUUAAUUGCGUUCUAGGUUGGAUGCCUUAAAACUUUCUGUCUUUUAUCGCCCUAAGGUCGUUGGCAUAGAACCUUGAUAGAUUGGUAUCGAUGGAUGCCUUAAUUCUAUUUUUCUCUAUUCUUCUUUUUUCUUGUUAUUUUUACCAUUGAUAGAAGUGAUAUUGAUGGAUAAAAUGAAAGUAGAUGUUGUUGGUAAUAGUAAUGGUUUGACCUGGACACAUCGUUUAGAGUUACUUU
Molecule: long non-coding RNA, 1977 nt
Filed under: Amborella trichopoda
Lineage: Eukaryota; Viridiplantae; Streptophyta; Magnoliopsida; Amborellales; Amborellaceae
Description: long non-coding RNA (ATRI_LNC000747)
Source: RNAcentral